CAGUCGCCGCGGGAAUACGAAGGGGGCUAGCGUUGCUCGGAAUUACUGGGCGUAAAGGGAGCGUAGGCGGAUCGUUUAGUCAGGGGUGAAAUCCCGGGGCUCAACCUCGGAACUGCCUUUGAUACUGGCGAUCUUGAGUAUGGGAGAGGUGUGUGGAACUCCGAGUGUAGAGGUGAAAUUCGUAGAUAUUCGGAAGAACACCAGUGGCGAAGGCGACACACUGGCCCAUUACUGACGCUGAGGCUCGAAAGCGUGGGGAGCAAACAGGAUUAGAUACCCCAGUAGUCCCUGUCUCUUAUAC
This 301-nucleotide ribosomal RNA is filed under the name uncultured bacterium. RNAcentral describes it as "partial 16S ribosomal RNA". It matches the Rfam family "Bacterial small subunit ribosomal RNA", at positions 509 to 807 of the family's 1533-position model. The record is from RNAcentral.